This 573-nucleotide small RNA is filed under the name Pan troglodytes (chimpanzee). RNAcentral's name for it is "processed transcript". Lineage: Eukaryota; Metazoa; Chordata; Mammalia; Primates; Hominidae. The record is from RNAcentral.
ACAUGCGCCCUGACAGCCCAACAAUGGCGGCGCCCGCGGAGUCGCUGAGGAGGCGGAAGACUGGGUACUCGGACCCGGAGCCUGAGUCGCCGCCCGCGCCGGGGCGUGACCCCGCAGGCUCUCCGGCCCAUCUCCACACGGGCACCUUCUGGCUGACCCGGAUCGUGCUCCUGAAGGCCCUAGCCUUCGUGUACUUCGUGGCAUUCCUGGUGGCUUUCCAUCAGAACAAGCAGCUCAUCGGUGACAGGGGGCUGCUUCCCUGCAGAGUGUUCCUGAAGAACUUCCAGCAGUACUUCCAGGACAGGACGAGCUGGGAAGUCUUCAGCUACAUGCCCACCAUCCUCUGGCUGAUGGACUGGUCAGACAUGAACUCCAACCUGGACUUGCUGGCUCUUCUCGGACUGGGCAUCUCGUCUUUCGUACUGAUCACGGGCUGCGCCAACAUGCUUCUCAUGGCUGCCCUGUGGGGCCUCUACAUGUCCCUGGUCAAUGUGGGCCAUGUCUGGAGGCAGCUGGCUUAGGGCUGAGUGGUCGGAACCAGGACCCUGUCCCAGGAUGGAAGGCUGCAGUGGU